This 567-nucleotide ribosomal RNA is filed under the name uncultured bacterium. RNAcentral's name for it is "partial 16S ribosomal RNA". It matches the Rfam family "Bacterial small subunit ribosomal RNA", at positions 355 to 912 of the family's 1533-position model. The record is from RNAcentral.
UGGGGAAUAUUGCACAAUGGGCGCAAGCCUGAUGCAGCCAUGCCGCGUGUGUGAAGAAGGCCUUCGGGUUGUAAAGCACUUUCAGCGAGGAGGAAGGUGGUGAGCUUAAUACGCUCAUCAAUUGACGUUACUCGCAGAAGAAGCACCGGCUAACUCCGUGCCAGCAGCCGCGGUAAUACGGAGGGUGCAAGCGUUAAUCGGAAUUACUGGGCGUAAAGCGCACGCAGGCGGUUUGUUAAGUCAGAUGUGAAAUCCCCGGGCUCAACCUGGGAACUGCAUUUGAAACUGGCAAGCUAGAGUCUCGUAGAGGGGGGUAGAAUUCCAGGUGUAGCGGUGAAAUGCGUAGAGAUCUGGAGGAAUACCGGUGGCGAAGGCGGCCCCCUGGACGAAGACUGACGCUCAGGUGCGAAAAGCGUGGGGCAGCAAACAGGAUUAGAUACCCUGGUAGUCCACGCUGUAAACGAUGUCGAUUUGGAGGUUGUGCCCUUGAGGCGUGGCUUCCGGAGCUAACGCGUUAAAUCGACCGCCUGGGGAGUACGGCCGCAAGGUUAAAACUCAAAUGAAUUG